AUUUAUAUAGUUUAUCUUAAAACCCUUCAUUUUCAAUGAAGAAAUAAAGAUUUCAUCUUUUAUAAAUA
This 68-nucleotide transfer RNA is filed under the name Arma custos. RNAcentral's name for it is "tRNA-Glu". It matches the Rfam family "tRNA". From Rfam's summary of the family: Transfer RNA (tRNA) molecules are approximately 80 nucleotides in length. Their secondary structure includes four short double-helical elements and three loops (D, anti-codon, and T loops). Further hydrogen bonds mediate the characteristic L-shaped molecular structure. tRNAs have two regions of fundamental functional importance: the anti-codon, which is responsible for specific mRNA codon recognition, and the 3' end, to which the tRNAs corresponding amino acid is attached (by aminoacyl-tRNA synthetases). tRNAs cope with the degeneracy of the genetic code in two manners: having more than one tRNA (with a specific anti-codon) for a particular amino acid; and 'wobble' base-pairing, i.e. permitting non-standard base-pairing at the 3rd anti-codon position. Lineage: Eukaryota; Metazoa; Arthropoda; Insecta; Hemiptera; Pentatomidae. RNAcentral also lists the same sequence under 1 other name. The record is from RNAcentral.